Small nucleolar RNA from Elaeis guineensis (African oil palm), 90 nucleotides. NCBI's taxonomy places the organism in Eukaryota, Viridiplantae, Streptophyta, Magnoliopsida, Arecales, Arecaceae. The record is from RefSeq and is a predicted model, not a curated record.
UGUGGAUAGAUGAGGAAGCUCAUAUUUAAAUAGGUAAUUUACAUCUAAUUAUUUCAUCCGUGUUAUCACCUUGGAGAUCUAAUGCCCUGA